Molecule: ribosomal RNA, 2795 nt
Filed under: Calonectria ilicicola
Lineage: Eukaryota; Fungi; Ascomycota; Sordariomycetes; Hypocreales; Nectriaceae
Description: SSU rRNA
Rfam family: Bacterial small subunit ribosomal RNA (bases 1-1572)
Source: RNAcentral
AAAAAGUUGAGUUUGGUGAUGGCUCUGAUUGAAUGCUGUCCAAGUGCUUGACACAUGCUAAUCGUACGUUUUAAUUAUAGUAUUAUACUUUAAUUAAAAAGUGGUGUACAGGUGAGUAUAAUGAUAUUCUUCGCCGGCCUUAAAGCGAAGGUAAAUCCUUCAUAAUAAAUAAAGGAAUGGUAAUUUCUGGCUAUUAAGCAGUAAUAAGCUAAGCCGUAAUUACCGUGAAAUUCCGCUUUAAGAGGAUAAUAAAUAUCUUCGAGAUAGGUAGUAGUUAAGGUGAUGACUUAACUAGCCUAAAACUCUCGUAGUCGAAGCUGAAAGGUUGAUCGACCACAUUGGGUCUGAAAAAACCCCAAUGCAAGUUAGUACAGCAGUGAGGAAUCUUGGUCAAUGGCCUAACGGCUGAACUGGCAACUUGGAGAAGUGGUAAGUUUUAAAAUUAAUAGUUAAUACAACGCAAGUUGCACUAUUAGUAUAAAAUUCUAUUAGAAUUGAAUGAAGCUUUGUUUAUAUAUUGAUAAUGACAGUAUAUAUAUUGUGUCUUGACCAAUUACGUGCCAGCAGUCGCGGUAAUACGUAAGAGACUAGUGUUAUUCAUCUUAAUUAGGUUUAAAGGGUACCCAGACGGUCAAUAUAGCUUCUAUAAUGUUAGUACUUGACUAGAGUUUUAUGUAAGAGGGCAGUACUUGAGGAGGAGAGAUGAAAUUCCGUGAUACCAAAGGGACUCUGUAAAGGCGAAGGCAGCCCUCUAUGUAUAAACUGACGUUGAAGGACGAAGGCACAGAGAACAAACAGGAUUAGAUACCCUAAUAGUCUUUGCAGUAAAUGAUGAAUGCCAUAGGUCAGCAUGGGAUUAUAUGAGUAAAUAAUACUCUUCCCUUGGUCUAUAAAUGAAAGUGUAAGCAUUUCACCUCAAGAGUAAUGUGGCAACGCAGGAACUGAAAUCACUAGACCGUUUCUGACACCAGUAGUGAAGUAUGUUGUUUAAUUCGAUGAUCCACGAAAAACCUUACCACAAUUUGAAUAAUUAUAUUACAGGAGUUGCACGGCUGUUUCCAGUUAAUGUUGUGAAACUGUGGUUUCCAUGAAAUUAACGUAAUCCCUGGCUUUAUUUUUAUAAGUUCAUUGCAGCUAUUACGAUAAAGCAUUCGAUCCUGGAAAUUUGGAAAGAGAAAGGGGACAAAGACAAGUCAUCAUGGCCUUGAUAUUGUGGGCUAUAGACGUGCCACAUAUACCUAAACAAAGAGAUGCAAAAAUGUGAAUUUAAGCUAAUCUCAAAAAAUAGGAUAUAAAUUUUAAGGAUUAUAGUCUGAAAUUCGACUAUAUGAAUAAGUAAUUACUAGUAAUCGUGAAUCACCAUGUCACGGUGAAUAUAGCUUGGAUUGGUACUAACCACUCGUCACAUGCUGAAAGGAGCAUGCGCAAUAAGUUUGCUUUCUUAAUAACAAGUAAAAAAAACAAGUAAGUUUUAUAUAUUCUUCUAUUGGGAAUCUUCGUAUGCGUGGCUCUAAUUAGUGUUAAGUCGAAAUACGGUUCGCGUAGUGGAAGUUGCGCGGGAUAAAUUAAUUUUAACAAUAAAAUCCUUUGCUUUAUAAAAAGCAAAAAAUCUGAAUAGGAUAUAGUAAAUCUAUUAUAAGGUAACUAUUUCGGUUCGAAUCCGAAGCAGGUUAAAUAACAAUAUUUGGUUAUAUCACAAAUAUAGGGAACACAAUUAGUGCUUAAGGGUUGUACCCUUUUAGUAUAUUAAUAUUUUAAUCAUGUAAAUCCGAGUUCGCUUGCAUGAGUUAGUAUACUGGUUAUCCUUAAUCUACAGGUUUACCUGCUGUAGACAUUAUAAGGUUGUAUUGAAUCUAAUAGACUUAAUAAGAUAUAAUUAGUCGUUUAUUAGUUGAACAUCGUACUUAAAACCUUAGACUUUAAAGAACGGGUAAAAUAUUUAUAAUAAAAAAUGAAACUAAAAACAGAAACUAUUCUUAAAACAUAUGUAGAAUGUGCAUCUUUAGAUGUAAAAAAGAUGAUUUUCAAGGACAAUCUAAAGAUGCCUGGUAUAUAUCGUUGAGUUAAUUUAAUUAACAGUGACACAUAUAUUGGUAGUGCUGUAGAUUUAACUAAAAGACUACGUGAUUAUCUUGCACCACGUUGACUAGAAAAAGAAAUACUUAAACAUAAUAGUAUUAUAUAUAGAGCUUUAAUAAAGUAUGGUUAUAGCAAUUUUAGAUUAGAAAUUUUAGAAUAUUGUGAUAAAUCUCAAACUAUAAUGAGAGAACAGUAUUAUAUAGAUAAAUAUCAACCUACUUACAAUAUCUGUAAAAUAGCAGGUUCUUCUUUAGAUCGUAUAACAAGGGACACAACUAGAUUAAAACUACGUAAUGCCUGGUUAAUCAGAUUAUAUAGAGAUAACCCGAACAAGUUAGGAUUUUCUAACUUCGUAUUAAACUAUUUUAUAAGUAAAGUAGCUAAGUUAGAGUAUAAUAUACAAACAAUACAAAAAAAGAUCGAUUUAAUAUUAACUAAUCCUACUGUAUUGAAGCAAUCUCAUGCUAUUCGUUUAAAAAAGUUGAAAGGAAGUCCUACAGCUGAAUAUGUAUUUGUUACAGACUUAAUAACAGGAAUAACAACUAAGUAUUUAUCAGCUAGAAGCGCAGCUUUAGCACUAAACUCUAGUAAUUCUACUAUUAUGAAUAAAUUGAAAAGAAAAAAUAUUAAACCUUACAAAGGUAGAUAUUUAAUUACAAAAGAAAGUAGUGGUAUUACUAAAGUGUAGUGGAAGUUGCACGGGAUAAAUUAAUUUU